This 464-nucleotide ribosomal RNA is filed under the name uncultured Penicillium. RNAcentral describes it as "eukaryotic LSU rRNA". The stretch from base 132 to 284 matches the Rfam family "5.8S ribosomal RNA". Lineage: Eukaryota; Fungi; Ascomycota; Eurotiomycetes; Eurotiales; Aspergillaceae. The record is from RNAcentral.
UACCUUGUUGCUUCGGCGGGCCCGCCUUAACUGGCCGCCGGGGGGCUUACGCCCCCGGGCCCGCGCCCGCCGAAGACACCCUCGAACUCUGUCUGAAGAUUGUAGUCUGAGUGAAAAUAUAAAUUAUUUAAAACUUUCAACAACGGAUCUCUUGGUUCCGGCAUCGAUGAAGAACGCAGCGAAAUGCGAUACGUAAUGUGAAUUGCAAAUUCAGUGAAUCAUCGAGUCUUUGAACGCACAUUGCGCCCCCUGGUAUUCCGGGGGGCAUGCCUGUCCGAGCGUCAUUUCUGCCCUCAAGCACGGCUUGUGUGUUGGGCCCCGUCCUCCGAUCCCGGGGGACGGGCCCGAAAGGCAGCGGCGGCACCGCGUCCGGUCCUCGAGCGUAUGGGGCUUUGUCACCCGCUCUGUAGGCCCGGCCGGCGCUUGCCGAUCAACCCAAAUUUUUAUCCAGGUUGACCUCGGAU